AUUACAACUUUCAGCGAUGGAUGUCUAGGUUCUCGCAACGAUGAAGAACGCAGCGAAAUGCGAUACGUAAUGCGAAUUGCAGAAUAAGUGAAUCAUCAAAUUUUUGAACGCAAAUUGCGCUUCCGGGUACUCCUGGGAGCAUUCCUGUUUCAGUGUCUGUU
This 161-nucleotide ribosomal RNA is filed under the name uncultured stramenopile. Its description in RNAcentral is "5.8S ribosomal RNA". It matches the Rfam family "5.8S ribosomal RNA". Rfam says of the family: 5.8S ribosomal RNA (5.8S rRNA) is a component of the large subunit of the eukaryotic ribosome. The record is from RNAcentral.